RNAcentral lists this ribosomal RNA (478 nucleotides) under uncultured bacterium. RNAcentral's name for it is "partial 16S ribosomal RNA". It matches the Rfam family "Bacterial small subunit ribosomal RNA", at positions 28 to 523 of the family's 1533-position model. The record is from RNAcentral.
GACGAACGCUGGCGGCGUGCUUAACACAUGCAAGUCGAACGGUAAGGCCCUUCGGGGUACACGAGUGGCGAACGGGUGAGUAACACGUGGGUGAUCUGCCCUGCACUUCGGGAUAAGCCUGGGAAACUGGGUCUAAUACCGGAUAGGACUCCGGACUGCAUGGUCUGGGGUGGAAAGCUUUUGCGGUGUGGGAUGGGCCCGCGGCCUAUCAGCUUGUUGGUGGGGUGAUGGCCUACCAAGGCGACGACGGGUAGCCGGCCUGAGAGGGUGACCGGCCAAACUGGGACUGGGAUACGGCCCAGACUCCUACGGGAGGCAGCAGUGGGGAAUAUUGCACAAUGGGCGCAAGCCUGAUGCAGCGACGCCGCGUGGGGGAUGACGGCCUUCGGGUUGUAAACCUCUUUCAGCAUCGACGAAGCGAAAGUGACGGUAGGCGCAGAAGAAGGACCGGCCAACUACGUGCCAGCCGCCGCCGUAA